Long non-coding RNA from Gossypium arboreum, 485 nucleotides. RefSeq lists it as uncharacterized. The transcript is spliced from 3 exons. The record is from RefSeq and is a predicted model, not a curated record. Lineage: Eukaryota; Viridiplantae; Streptophyta; Magnoliopsida; Malvales; Malvaceae.
AAAAUAUUAGGGUUCAUAUUCACGACCAUGGAACCACCAUUUUAUUUGGUGGCUAUUGAUUUAUGAACCACAACUAGACCUCACCAUCGAAGGCUCCACUCGAGGGAAUUUGAAAUAUUAGGGAUUUCAUUGGCGUCAUUUUGAGGCAUGAGGUCUAAUACUUUUAGAUUUCCCUUCCAACUUCGAUCUCAACGAAGUGAAAUAGAGGUCUAAAGCCGAUUCACAAGUCUCAGUUGUACGGAGAAGAUGAUCCGGGGAUCUCGCAUGGAAAACCAUCCCUCUAGUAUUCUUCCAGUAUAUUCUAGGAGCUGCUGCUGAAAUUCUCCUUCUUUUGGGUUCUUUUGGGUUUAGGCUAGGAUAUGGAUUUAUUAGAGUUGGGUUUUAGGACAUGGGUUAUUUUUGUAUUUUGAAAAUUGUAAAUGGACCUUUUUUAGUCUUGGACCUUAUUCAUUUAUUUGGGUUUAUUUAUUUGCAAAUAAAUUAAA